Molecule: long non-coding RNA, 1379 nt
Organism: Vicia villosa (hairy vetch)
Lineage: Eukaryota; Viridiplantae; Streptophyta; Magnoliopsida; Fabales; Fabaceae
Exons: 3
Source: RefSeq, a predicted model, not a curated record
UAAUGCAACAUUCAGGUAUUAAAAAUAAUUUUUAGUAGUCACCAAACUUGGUUAAUGCAGUGUAAAAACUUGGUUAAUGCGGUAAUGAAGUUGGCUAAUGCAACAUACAGGUAUUAAAAUAAUUUUUAGCAGUCAUCAAACUUGGUUAAUGCAGUAGUGAAGUUGGUUAAUACACGUCCGUACAUAAACAGUGUCGUCCGUAAUUUUAUAAAUAAAAAAAUCUUUUUGAUAAAUAUUAUUAUUUUAUUUUAAAAAACACUAUUCACCGUAUAAAUACGGUGAACAGUGUUUGAUGUAAGUAUUGGUGUAUAAUAUGAAUGUAAAAAUAGCAUUACUCUUUAAAGAAACAUAUUAUAGAAGAAGCUGCAAAAUGAAAAUAACUAAAUUUAUCGGCUAAUAGUUUCCGUUCAUGAUUUCUUAGAUUUUUUUAUGUUGUUUAAAACUUUAUGUAAUACUAGUAAGUAUUAAGUUAUUAUCUAGGUUUCCAUCGUAAAAGUCAUUUGUAUUUGCAUUUGGAUAUGUAUUAUAAUGAAUGGAAUUUGAAUUGGUAUCUACUAUCUACCCAAUACUGAGAAAUUGUCCAAACUGUCCAUUUUGCCCUUCCCUUAUAAUUUCUUUACCCAUAGAAAAGGUUAAUCAUGUAAUUAACAAAAUAAAAAAAAAGAACAUGCCAAAUGUUGUGUUCUCAUUGGUCACUUUUUUCAAUUGUUGUACUUGCAUAAACCUUUUCUCUUUCUCUCUCUGCGUUUUCUCUCUCUUUCCAGUUUUCACAUUCCAACUUUUUUCUAAACCCUAGCUGCCAAAACUUUUCCCUUCUCUCCCUCUCUCCCAUUUUCUUUCUUCUCAUAUCUUUUUGUCUUCAAACCCUAGUGCUGCGGAAACUCUCUGUGAAAUGGAAGAAAAAGUGAACUCGCAAAUGCAUAAACCCAUAGCCACAAAAAUCUUCGUCUCUGAUUCUAUGGUAUGGUAGAAACUCAUCUUCAUCCCUUCCAAAUCUCUGAUUCUUUUUUCUUUUUCAGUUUUUUCAGGAUUUGUACUUCGACAUGGCUGAAAAUAACUCAAGUUUUCCAAAAAAAAUCACAGGUAGCAAACCUGACUGCACAGAUCUGAUGCUCUUAAAUGAUAUGAUGAUGUGCUUCAAGAUUUGGGUGUGAGGAAUAAUUCUCAGGUUUGUUCUGCAGAAAUGUGUAAGCAAUUUAUGUUAAGCAAUCAUUUUACAUAAAGAAGGUACUACUUUAUGUUAAGCAAUUUGUUGUUAACACCUCAAACAAAAUAUCUUUGUAAUUCUACAAUUGUAUUGUAAGAAAACUGUACUAGCAGAGUUUGUAAAUAUGUAAGCUUUGUAUUUUAUGAGUAUAGUAUGUUAGCUACCAUUUUGU